AAGCACCUUACCGGAUUCUUCGGAUGAAAGUUUGGUGACUGAGUGGCGGACGGGUGAGUAACGCGUGGGUAACCUGCCCUGUACAGGGGGAUAACAACUGGAAACGGCUGCUAAUACCGCAUAAGCGCACGAGGAGACAUCUCCUAGUGUGAAAAACUCCGGUGGUACAGGAUGGGCCCGCGUCUGAUUAGCUGGUUGGCAGGGUAACGGCCUACCAAGGCAACGAUCAGUAGCCGGUCUGAGAGGAUGAACGGCCACAUUGGAACUGAGACACGGUCCAAACUCCUACGGGAGGCAGCAGUGGGGAAUAUUGCACAAUGGGGGAAACCCUGAUGCAGCAACGCCGCGUGAGUGAAGAAGUAUUUCGGUAUGUAAAGCUCUAUCAGCAGGGAAGAUAAUGACGGUACCUGACUAAGAAGCUCCGGCUAAAUACGUGCCAGCAGCCGCGGUAAUACGUAUGGAGCAAGCGUUAUCCGGAUUUACUGGGUGUAAAGGGUGCGUAGGUGGCAGUGCAAGUCAGAUGUGAAAGGCCGGGGCUCAACCCCGGAGCUGCAUUUGAAACUGCUCGGCUAGAGUACAGGAGAGGCAGGCGGAAUUCCUAGUGUAGCGGUGAAAUGCGUAGAUAUUAGGAGGAACACCAGUGGCGAAGGCGGCCUGCUGGACUGUUACUGA
Molecule: ribosomal RNA, 672 nt
Filed under: uncultured Lachnospiraceae bacterium
Lineage: Bacteria; Bacillati; Bacillota; Clostridia; Lachnospirales; Lachnospiraceae
Description: bacterial SSU rRNA
Rfam family: Bacterial small subunit ribosomal RNA
Source: RNAcentral